ACCCAAUUCGAACUGCUGGAGCUACCCGUGACGAUGCUCGUUCAAGACAAACAAUCCGGGAACCAACCCGAUCUACCACCGACCCUGCUCGUUCCCGAGAACCAACCCGAGCUACCACCGACCCUGCUCGUUCGCGAGCUACCAAUGAUCCAGUUCGCUCCCGAGACCCAACCCGAGCAACAUAUGAUCCUGCUCGUUUCCGAGAACCUACCCGAUCUACCACCGACCCUGCUCGCUCCCGAGAACCAACCCGAGCUACCACCGACCCUGCUCGUUCGCGAGCUACCAAUGAUCCAGUUCGCUCCCUAGACCCAACCCGAGCAACAUAUGAUCCUGCUCGUUUCCGAGAACCGACCCGAUCUACCACCGACCCUGCUCGUUCUCGAGAACCAACCCGAGCUACCACCGACCCUGCUCGUUCGCGAGCUACCAAUGAUCCAGUUAGCUCCCGAGACCCAACCCGAGCAACAUAUGAUCCUGCUCGUUUCCGAGAACCGACCCGAUCUACCACCGACCCUGCUCGUUCUCGAGAACCAACCCGAGCUACCACCGACCCUGCUCGUUCGCGAGCUACCAAUGAUCCAGUUCGCUCCCGAGACCCAACCCGAGCAACAUAUGAUCCUACUCGUUACCGAGAACCGACCCGAUCUACCCCCGACCCUGCUCGUUCGCGAGAACCAUUCCGAGCUACCAAUGAUCCAGUUCGCUCCCGAGAACCAACCCGGGCUACCACCGACCCUGCUCGUUCGCAAGCUACCAAUGAUCCAGUUCGCUCCCGAGACCCAACCCGAGCAACAUAUGAUCCUGUUCGUUUCCGAGAACCGACCAGAGCUACCAGCGAUCCUGCUCGUUCGCGAGAACCAGUUCGAGCUACCAAUGAUCCAGUUCGCUCCCGAGACCCAACCCGAGCAACAUAUGAUCCUGUUCAUUUCCGAGAACCGACCAGAGCUACCAGCGAUCCUGCUCGUUCACGAGAACCAGACCGAGCCAACCGUGACCCCACUCGUCGGCAAGAACCAAUUAGAGCUACCCCUGAUCCUGUUAGACGUCCUAACAUAACGGAGCUGUUAACCAUUGCUAGAAGCAACCCGAAUGACAAAUCUAAUAUAGUUAACCUGGUAAAUCAAGUUCUUCCAAAAAGGUCGUUCUCGGAGCCAUUACCUCGUCUGUCAACAGAAUCACGACGGCCAUUACUAUGCUAUGCUGGUGAAGAUUCGUGUUUCUCGUACUACAGACGAUCAACAGUAGGACCAUCUUGUUGGUAUGCAAUUGAUGAACCUAAUAACAGAUGCUGUGAUGAGGAUGGGUCUUUCCAGUCUCCUAUCAAUCUGCCUUCAUUUGAUUCCGUCGAUGAUAUAGAAUCGUAUCUCUUUUAUGAAUCAAGUGAACCAAUAUCAGGAAAGCUUGAAAAUAAUGGUGUGUAUCCCAAGUGGGUGGCUGGGAGAGAAUCAACAAUACUGAGAGGGGUUCGAACUCAUUCUAAUCUGGGCUAUUUCCUGGACAAUAUCAACGUUCAUUUUGGUUCUUGGAGCGAGGUCCGUCAAUCUGAACACUUGAUUGAUUCGAAAACUUUUGAUGCCGAGGUGCAUGUGGUGCAUUACCGAGAAGAUUUUUCGAGUUUAGCUGAAGCAAGUCAAUAUUCUGAUGGAAUAGUUACAAUUGCUCUGUUCUUGUCGUAUUCAGAAGGAGAGGAAAACGUGGGGAUAAAGGAAGUUCUGGAGAAAUUAUCGUCAGUAAAGGAUUUCGGAGAGGAAGGAGCUGUCUGUCCGUAUGAAAGUAUUAGAUAUCAGUUUAAUUCUAUGUUGGGUUUUACUGAGACGAGAUCAGGACAAUGUUAUACUAGUGAUCCACAGAGUAAAUUCCCUAAUUACUGUAAAUUACAUUCCAGUGGGGACAAAACAUGUGGUAAUUCUGUGGAGGAUGUUAAAGUGUAUCCUAAUGACAUGUUACCGUCGAAACCCGAGUAUUAUAGCUAUACCGGUAGUAUGACCACACCUCCCUGUUCUGAAGCCGUCAAGUGGUUGGUUGCUGAAAAUCCAAUGUUCAUUAAACUAGACAUUUUACAAGAUUUACACUCGCUUGAAUCUCGGAUUGGAAAUAAGAAGAUAGAUGAUGAUGGUAAUUUGAGACCUCUACAGGAUGCCGCUGGUCGAGAUAUUCGUAGAAUUAAAUAUAAAUCAUUUUAAUUAUAUAAUAAUAAUACAAUGUCGGGCUUCUACAGGAUCAUUCUACAGGAUUUAAAUAUUGUAAUAAAAUAACUAGGCUCAGACUAAGCCCGCUCUGGUCAAUAAUUAUUUUCGACUGGUCAAUAUAUAGGCUGGCUCGGCAUGUAUAUAUAGUGACAGACAAUCUGACACUCUAAAGAUUUCAUAGUUUGGGUAUUUUUCAUAUAAAUAGCAGGUUUUUUUCUUUAAAUGAACACCGUUUCAAAUGUUUGCGGACUGCGGAUGCGACUGUGCCUUAAAUUUGUUCAUAUAAGCCCUUGUUUCUUUGACAUUCGACUAAAACAAUGAGGAUUAAAUAAUUUAUAUAUGGCCAAAGAAUCAAUCUGUAUCCUGUUGAUCAGGGUUUAUUAUGUAUAUAUUGAUGAAAUAUAAACUAACGGAGUUGAUAAAUUACUUGAGCAAUCUGAAUAAAGAUAAAUCCUAUUUUA
Molecule: long non-coding RNA, 2653 nt
Organism: Patella vulgata (common limpet)
Lineage: Eukaryota; Metazoa; Mollusca; Gastropoda; Patellidae
Exons: 8
Source: RefSeq, a predicted model, not a curated record